UGAGGAAUAUUGGUCAAUGGGCGAGAGCCUGAACCAGCCAAGUAGCGUGCAGGAUGACGGCCCUAUGGGUUGUAAACUGCUUUUAUGCGGGGAUAAAGUGAGGGACGUGUCCCUUUUUGCAGGUACCGCAUGAAUAAGGACCGGCCUAAUUCCGUG
RNAcentral lists this ribosomal RNA (156 nucleotides) under uncultured bacterium. Its description in RNAcentral is "partial 16S ribosomal RNA". It matches the Rfam family "Bacterial small subunit ribosomal RNA", at positions 355 to 507 of the family's 1533-position model. The record is from RNAcentral.